Molecule: non-coding RNA, 30 nt
Filed under: Homo sapiens (human)
Lineage: Eukaryota; Metazoa; Chordata; Mammalia; Primates; Hominidae
Source: RNAcentral
UGAAGUACCUUGCCCAGAGCACACAGUCUU